GCUUUUCAUAUUCCAAAAGUGCCUGCAGUAAUGGAAAGGAUCAGGAAUAGAGGACACAAUGAAAGAUGAAACAAAUGAAGGAAGCCUUUGAUGAAAAUAAUGACUGAAAUAAUUGGUACUAAUAUAAAUAUGACAAACAGAUUUCAGGGCAAGUGGGAGCAGAUCGGUCUCAUUUUUCCUGGAAUUCAAAUGUCACUGGAGGAGAUCCAAGCUCAGUUCCCUUGGAAAGAUAAAGAAAAGGAAGUUAUGCAUCUGCAUUAAUUUUAUAAUCUGAGUCAACUAUCACUCUCUCUCCCUGGGGAAGGGAAGGAGAUAGCUGUAGACAUGAGAAGCUCCUUUCUGAAUGAUGCUUCUGUUAUAGAUUGCCCAGUCAACAUUUUCGAUGCCAGAAGAGAACAAAAUUGAACCAUCGUCUAAGAUAUAUUAACCAAUUAUGGUCCUACAUUACAGUGUUUGAAAAUUCAAUUGGAAUCUCAAAAAUUGAGCAUUUUCCCAAUUUAAAGGCAAUACCUUCUCGUAGAAUAUUCGGAAUG
RNAcentral lists this unclassified non-coding RNA (533 nucleotides) under Hevea brasiliensis (rubber tree). The record is from RNAcentral. Lineage: Eukaryota; Viridiplantae; Streptophyta; Magnoliopsida; Malpighiales; Euphorbiaceae.